AUUUAAAUAGCUUACAAAUUAGAGCAUAAUAUUGAAAAUAUUAAGGAAAUUAUAAAUUUUUAAAUA
RNAcentral lists this transfer RNA (66 nucleotides) under Bombus sylvestris. RNAcentral's name for it is "tRNA-Phe". The record is from RNAcentral. Lineage: Eukaryota; Metazoa; Arthropoda; Insecta; Hymenoptera; Apidae.